Molecule: ribosomal RNA, 483 nt
Filed under: uncultured bacterium
Lineage: Bacteria
Description: partial 16S ribosomal RNA
Rfam family: Bacterial small subunit ribosomal RNA
Source: RNAcentral
GACGAACGCUGGCGGCGUGCUUAACACAUGCAAGUCGAACGAUGAAGCUGGAGCUUGCUCUAGCGGAUUAGUGGCGAACGGGUGAGUAACACGUGAGCAAUCUGCCCUUGACUCUGGGAUAACUGCGGGAAACUGUAGCUAAUACCGGAUACUUUCACCGGGGGGCAUCCUCUGGUGAUGAAAGAAUUUCGGUCAAGGAUGAGCUCGCGGCCUAUCAGCUUGUUGGUGAGGUAACGGCUCACCAAGGCGACGACGGGUAACCGGCCUGAGAGGGUGACCGGUCACACUGGGACUGAGACACGGCCAGACUCCUACGGGAGGCAGCAGUGGGGAAUAUUGCACAAUGGGCGCAAGCCUGAUGCAGCAACGCCGCGUGAGGGAUGAAGGCCUUCGGGUUGUAAACCUCUUUUAGCAGGGAAGAAGCGAAAGUGACGGUACCUGCAGAAAAAGCACCGGCUAACUACAUGCCAGCCGCCGCCGUAA